GGCGGCGUAGCCAAGCGGUAAGGCAAUGGUUUGCAAAACCAUUAUGCUCCAGUUCGAAUCUGGACGUCGCCUCCA
This 75-nucleotide transfer RNA is filed under the name Planctomycetota bacterium. RNAcentral describes it as "Planctomycetes bacterium (gut metagenome) tRNA-Cys". It matches the Rfam family "tRNA". From Rfam's summary of the family: Transfer RNA (tRNA) molecules are approximately 80 nucleotides in length. Lineage: Bacteria; Pseudomonadati; Planctomycetota. The record is from RNAcentral.